AGUAACACGUGGGGAACCUGCCCCAUAGUCUGGGAUACCACUUGGAAACAGGUGCUAAUACCGGAUAAGAAAGCGGAUCGCAUGAUCAGCUUUUAAAAGGCGGCGUAAGCUGUCGCUAUGGGAUGGCCCCGCGGUGCAUUAGCUAGUUGGUAAGGUAAAGGCUUACCAAGGCGAUGAUGCAUAGCCGAGUUGAGAGACUGAUCGGCCACAUUGGGACUGAGACACGGCCCAAACUCCUACGGGAGGCAGCAGUU
This 254-nucleotide ribosomal RNA is filed under the name uncultured Lactobacillus sp. RNAcentral's name for it is "partial 16S ribosomal RNA". It matches the Rfam family "Bacterial small subunit ribosomal RNA", at positions 109 to 355 of the family's 1533-position model. Lineage: Bacteria; Bacillati; Bacillota; Bacilli; Lactobacillales; Lactobacillaceae. The record is from RNAcentral.